CAAGAAGGUAAAAAGAGUACAGAUAGAAUUCCCGGUCCUAGCCCUGAAGGAGUUCACUGAUUCUAAUCUUUCCUGAAGUUACAACACUGUCCUAGACAGGCACACAAACACACAGAGCAAAGAAACGAAUUUCCUUGUUGAAAACAUGCCGACGCUUUCUGUAUUUACACUCAUGUUCACUCCAACGUCCAGCUCCAGGCUGGAGACCACACGAAGGAGGCAGAAGCGGGAGGCAGAAGGCAGGUUGGAACGCAUUUUAUCAUGGAUGGCCUUGCACAGUCACUAUUGACCCAGCAAGAUCCCAGGUGUCUCUCCCAGUCACUCCAGGAAGAUGGUGGUACUAUUUGUACAGCCCGGACGCUUCUGGCCCCACAACAUGCAAGGGCCCUGGGAGAAAGAAGGAAUGCUGUCUGAGGAUCUUUUCUUGACACCUUCUGGUAAAAUCAAGAAUUCCAGAGAACAUCAGCACUAAGCGUGCAGAGCCAGUGUCGGGGUUGGAACUGACUACCGGCGUGCAGGCUUGUACAAACGCUGCAUUUUCAAUACUCUUGAUGGCAGGAAAUAAUGACAGGCGGAAAAUUAUGAAUAUUCGUGAGUCCGAGAUUUAAAAAUGUGUAAGAAAAGGCAGAUUCUGUGAAGUUUUAGGAAUUCCUUUAUCAAUGUAUUAUAAGAUAUAUAUAUAUAUACACACACAUACACUCAUAUGGAACAUAUGUAUGCAGAUACAUGCCAACAGAGUUACAUUAGAAUCUACAUUUGUGUAUGUCUUAAAGAGUUUUUUAAAAUGUACAAAUCAAGCAUGGUCAUAACUGUUUCAGCAGCAUUUUUCAGUCGUGCGUACAGCUGUGGUGUAUCUCCCCAUCAACGGCUUUUAGAUUUAAUGGAAUAAAAUACUGGAUUUAAU
This 904-nucleotide long non-coding RNA is filed under the name Homo sapiens (human). RNAcentral describes it as "HSALNT0132114". Lineage: Eukaryota; Metazoa; Chordata; Mammalia; Primates; Hominidae. The record is from RNAcentral.